CUUGGCUUGAAGCUCCUCUGGUUCUUGAGCCUUGCAGGCUGAGGACUAGGAGGACAAUUUUCCCCUCACUUGUCAGAGGAUUCCUGGCAUGUCCCAACACUUUGUGAAUCUCUUCCUACCCUCCACCUCCACUGCCACCCACUUGGAUGGAGGACAUUGCUGAGGAGUUUGAGGUCUGCAAGCCCGGGAGCCCUGUCUUGGGAGUGUCUUCUUAGUUCUUCCAGGUUUCCUGCCGGUCUCCCAUUCACUGCCCUGUUUUGCCCGAGGUGCUAGAGUUAGAGGACUCCUGGGGGUGUGGCAGGGAGAGG
RNAcentral lists this long non-coding RNA (308 nucleotides) under Marmota monax (woodchuck). Lineage: Eukaryota; Metazoa; Chordata; Mammalia; Rodentia; Sciuridae. The record is from RNAcentral.